This 73-nucleotide transfer RNA is filed under the name Paramuricea clavata. It matches the Rfam family "tRNA". From Rfam's summary of the family: Transfer RNA (tRNA) molecules are approximately 80 nucleotides in length. Their secondary structure includes four short double-helical elements and three loops (D, anti-codon, and T loops). Lineage: Eukaryota; Metazoa; Cnidaria; Anthozoa; Malacalcyonacea; Plexauridae. The record is from Rfam by way of RNAcentral.
GACCAUGUAGCUCAGUUGGCAGAGCAUUGGACUAGUAUCCCAAAGGUUGUGGGUUUGAUUCUCACCAUGGCCA